This 444-nucleotide ribosomal RNA is filed under the name uncultured prokaryote. RNAcentral's name for it is "bacterial SSU rRNA". It matches the Rfam family "Bacterial small subunit ribosomal RNA", at positions 355 to 796 of the family's 1533-position model. The record is from RNAcentral.
UGAGGAAUCUUGCGCAAUGGGCGAAAGCCUGACGCAGCCACGCCGCGUGCCGGAAGAAGGUCCUAUGGAUUGUAAACGGCUUUUGUCAGGGAAGAAUCCCCGGGUUUCGAUCUGGGUUGACGGUACCUGAUGAAUAAGCACCGGCUAACUCCGUGCCAGCAGCCGCGGUAAUACGGAGGGUGCAAGCGUUGUCCGGAAUCAUUGGGUGUAAAGGGUGCGUAGGCGGGCCACUAAGUCUGGGGUGAAAUCCUGCCGCUUAACGGUAGAAUGGCCUUGGAUACUGGUGGUCUUGAGUACAGAAGAGGUCGGUGGAAUUCGUAGUGUAGCGGUGAAAUGCAUAGAUAUUACGAAGAACACCAGUGGCGAAGGCGGCCGGCUGGUCUGUAACUGACGCUGAGGCACGAAAGCGUGGGGAGCGAACAGGAUUAGAUACCCGUGUAGUCC